Molecule: non-coding RNA, 502 nt
Organism: Phyllostomus hastatus (greater spear-nosed bat)
Lineage: Eukaryota; Metazoa; Chordata; Mammalia; Chiroptera; Phyllostomidae
Source: the annotation of a RefSeq genome assembly
CUGGGAGGCAUGAAAAGGCCCCAAGGACACCACCCUCCAGCCCAGGAGCCUGAGGAGGCCGUGUCCUAUGAGUGUCCCCACCAUGGCCUGGACAGUUCUCCUGCUGGGGCUCCUUGCUUUCAGCUCAGGUGUGGAUUCUCAGACUGUGGUGACCCAGGAGCCAUCCCUGUCUGUGUCUCCAGGAGGAACAGUCACACUCACCUGUGGCUCUAGCUCUGGGUCAGUCUCUACCAGUAACUACGCUAACUGGUUCCAGCAAAACCCAGGCAAGGCUCCCCGCACGCUCAUCUACAGCACAAGCAGCCGCCCCUCUGGGGUCCCUGAGCGCUUCUCUGGAUCCAUCUCUGGGAACAAAGCCGUCCUCACCAUCACAGGGGCCCAGCCUGAGGACGAGGGGGACUAUUACUGUGUUCUACAUUACAGCAGCCCUUAUAAUUUGCACAGUGCUCCAGAGUCACAGGGAAGGUCCAGUUCAGACUGUGCUAAUGUUGCCAACACGUAG